Molecule: unclassified non-coding RNA, 240 nt
Filed under: plant metagenome
Description: partial contains small subunit ribosomal RNA, internal transcribed spacer 1, and 5.8S ribosomal RNA
Source: RNAcentral
UUUCCGUAGGUGAACCUGCGGAAGGAUCAUUACUGAGUUAGGGUCUUUAUGGCCCGACCUCCAACCCUUUGUUUAAUCUACCAUGUUGCUUUGGCAGGCCCGCUUAGAAAUGGGCCGCCGGAGACCUUUGAGUCUCUGGUCAGUGCCUGCCAGUAGCCUUUCUAAAUUCAUUUAUAACCGUGUCUGAAUAUACAAAGAAAGAUUAAAAUAAAACUUUCAACAACGGAUCUCUUGGUUCUG